RNAcentral lists this long non-coding RNA (229 nucleotides) under Elaeis guineensis (African oil palm). Its description in RNAcentral is "long non-coding RNA (EGUI_LNC034187)". Lineage: Eukaryota; Viridiplantae; Streptophyta; Magnoliopsida; Arecales; Arecaceae. The record is from RNAcentral.
CAUCUAAUAACCUAAUCGGAUCAAACUUAAUUGAAUUUAAUUUAGUUAGACUUGAUCCAAUCCUUAUUGCUCAAUCAAGUUGAGUCAAUUAGUAAUCUAAUUACUAAUUAAUCCUCUUAUAAUUUACUAACUCUUAGCAAAUUAUUAAUUGCAACCUUUGCAUAAGGUUAAUCAUCAAUCAUAUUGAUGAUUAUAUCCUUCAACGAUUCAUAAUCGUCAAUCAGCCAUC